Molecule: long non-coding RNA, 638 nt
Organism: Oncorhynchus tshawytscha (Chinook salmon)
Lineage: Eukaryota; Metazoa; Chordata; Actinopteri; Salmoniformes; Salmonidae
Source: Ensembl
GAGGCUAUAUACAGGUGGUACUGGUACAGAGUCAAUGUGGAGGCUAUAUACAGGGGUUACGGUACAGAGUCAAUGUGGAGGCUAUAUACAGGGGGUACCGGUACAGAGUCAAUGUGGAGGCUAUAUACAGGGGGUACCGGUACAGAGUCAAUGUGGAGGCUAUAUACAGGGGGUACCGGUACAGAGUCAAUGUGGAGGCUAUAUACAUGGUGUUACGGUACAGAGUCAAUGUGGAGGCUAUAUACAGGGUGUAUCGGUACAGAGUCAAUGUGGAGGCUAUAUACAGGGGUACCGGUACAGAGUCAAUGUGGAGGCUAUAUACAGGGGGUACCGGUACAGAGUCAAUGUGGAGGCUAUAUACAAGGGGUACAGGUACAGAGUCAAUGUGGAGGCUAUAUACAGGGGGUACUGGUACAGAGUCAAUGUGGAGGCUAUAUACAGGGGUACCGGUACAGAGUCAAUGUGGAGGCUAUAUACAGGGGGGUACCGGUACAGAGUCAAUGUGGAGGCUAUAUACAGAGUGUUACGGUACAGAGUCAAUGUGGAGGCUGUAUACAGGGGGUACCGGUACAGAGUCAAUGUGGAGGCUAUAUACAGAGUGUUACGGUACAGAGUCAAUGUGGAGGCUGUAUACAGGG